AGAGUUUGAUCAUGGCUCAGGACGAACGCUGGCGGCGUGCUUAACACAUGCAAGUCGAACGAUGAACCACCUUCGGGUGGGGGAUUAGUGGCGAACGGGUGAGUAACACGUGGGCAAUCUGCCCUGCACUCUGGGACAAGCCCUGGAAACGGGGUCUAAUACCGGAUACUGACCUUCACGGGCAUCCGUGAAGGUCGAAAGCUCCGGCGGUGCAGGAUGAGCCCGCGGCCUAUCAGCUUGUUGGUGAGGUAACGGCUCACCAAGGCGACGACGGGUAGCCGGCCUGAGAGGGCGACCGGCCACACUGGGACUGAGACACGGCCCAGACUCCUACGGGAGGCAGCAGUGGGGAAUAUUGCACAAUGGGCGAAAGCCUGAUGCAGCGACGCCGCGUGAGGGAUGACGGCCUUCGGGUUGUAAACCUCUUUCAGCAGGGAAGAAGCGAAAGUGACGGUACCUGCAGAAGAAGCGCCGGCUAACUACGUGCCAGCAGCCGCGGUAAUACGUAGGGCGCGAGCGUUGUCCGGAAUUAUUGGGCGUAAAGAGCUCGUAGGCGGCUUGUCGCGUCGGUUGUGAAAGCCCGGGGCUUAACCCCGGGUCUGCAGUCGAUACGGGCAGGCUAGAGUUCGGUAGGGGAGAUCGGAAUUCCUGGUGUAGCGGCGAAAUGCGCAGAUAUCAGGAGGAACACCGGUGGCGAAGGCGGAUCUCUGGGCCGAUACUGACGCUGAGGAGCGAAAGCGUGGGGAGCGAACAGGAUUAGAUACCCUGGUAGUCCACGCCGU
This 782-nucleotide ribosomal RNA is filed under the name uncultured bacterium. RNAcentral describes it as "bacterial SSU rRNA". It matches the Rfam family "Bacterial small subunit ribosomal RNA", at positions 8 to 803 of the family's 1533-position model. The record is from RNAcentral.